UGAUCCCCCACACUGGCACUGAGAUACGGGCCAGACUCCUANNGGAGGCAGCAGUAGGGAAUAUUGGUCAAUGGAUGGAAGUCUGAACCAGCCAUGCCGCGUGCAGGAAGAAGGCCUUNUGGGUUGUAAACUGCUUUUGCCAGGGGAUAAAAAUUCUUUGCGAAGAAAAUUGAAGGUACCUGGUGAAUAAGCACCGGCUAACUACGUGCCAGCAGCCGCGGUAAUACGUAGGGNGCAAGCGUUGUCCGGAUUUAUUGGGUUUAAAGGGUGCGUAGGCGGCCCUGUAAGUCAGUGGUGAAAUACUCCAGCUUAACUGGAGGGGUGCCAUUGAUACUGCAGGGCUUGAGUUAAGUUGAAGUUGGCGGAAUUGACGGUGUAGCGGUGAAAUGCUUAGAUAUCGUCAAGAACACCGAUAGUGAAGACAGCUAACUAAACUUUUACUGACGCUGAGGCACGAAAGUGUGGGGAUCAAACAGGAUUAGAUACCCUGGUAGUCCACACUGUAAACGUUGAUUACUCGCUGUGUGCGAUAUNCAGUACGCGGCCAAGCGAAAGCGAUAAGUAAUCCACCUGGGGAGUACGCCGGCAACGGUGAAAACUCAAAGGAAU
This 609-nucleotide ribosomal RNA is filed under the name uncultured bacterium. Its description in RNAcentral is "bacterial SSU rRNA". It matches the Rfam family "Bacterial small subunit ribosomal RNA", at positions 301 to 910 of the family's 1533-position model. The record is from RNAcentral.